RNAcentral lists this transfer RNA (77 nucleotides) under Brevundimonas sp. Its description in RNAcentral is "tRNA-Arg". It matches the Rfam family "tRNA". From Rfam's summary of the family: Transfer RNA (tRNA) molecules are approximately 80 nucleotides in length. RNAcentral also lists the same sequence under 1 other name. The record is from RNAcentral. Lineage: Bacteria; Pseudomonadati; Pseudomonadota; Alphaproteobacteria; Caulobacterales; Caulobacteraceae.
GCACCCAUAGCUCAGCUGGAUAGAGCACCAGACUACGAAUCUGGGGGUCAGGAGUUCGAAUCUCUUUGGGUGCGCCA